Corapipo altera (White-ruffed manakin) is the source of this 297-nucleotide long non-coding RNA. RefSeq lists it as uncharacterized. The transcript has 3 exons. The record is from RefSeq and is a predicted model, not a curated record. NCBI's taxonomy places the organism in Eukaryota, Metazoa, Chordata, Aves, Passeriformes, Pipridae.
UUCUCUGACCUUGGCUGUCCUGCACAGUGUCACAGGCUGUCUGAGGACCUGCAGAAGUUUUAAGAGGAAGAACUUGGAGUAGAGUUAAAUACAAGUAAAGGGAACUGCAGGGAGUAAGUGGGCUUCAAAUGACCUGAUGAUCUUGCUACUUCAGUCAGUAUUUAUCUUGAAGAGCAUGCAAGCUAGACAAUUAAUCCAUCAGCAAAAAAAGAAAGGUGUGUUCUUCUUUUUUUUAUCUGUGGGAAGAAGGUCUCCAAGAACCUAGCAUAUUUCACCAAUAAAUCUUCAUUUUAUUAA